Molecule: small nuclear RNA, 107 nt
Organism: Choloepus hoffmanni (Hoffmann's two-fingered sloth)
Lineage: Eukaryota; Metazoa; Chordata; Mammalia; Pilosa; Megalonychidae
Source: Ensembl
GUGCUUGAUUCAGCAGUACGCAUACUAAAAUUGGAACAAUAUAGAGAAGACUAACAUAGUCCCUGUGCAAGGAUGAUAUGCAAAUUUGUGAAGCAUUCCAUAUUAUU